UACCACUUUUUUAAAGUGGCAUUAUCUAGAUUAUUAAACGAGAUACUAUUUAAACAAAGUCUAAUGAAGGAAAGUCAAAUAAAAGUGCAUAAUGAAAAUUUAAGAGCUCAGCUUCCUGAAAAAUACUCUUAACAUCCAAAAUCUUAAUCGAUUUUCGUACUUAAAGUAGUCUAAAUUUAGAUACAAAAAAACUAUCACAUAAAAGCCUUUGAGUUGAGGGCCUAGAAGCAGCCCCUUAAAAUUUAAAUUUUCGGUUAUACUGGCAGUAGGUUUAACAAAAUGCGAUCAAACGAACUACAAGCCAUAGAUCACAUUGGUGUUUACAUUUUCUAAUAAUCAUUUCCACACAGUUUAAAAGCGAAUGGAUGAGCAAAUUUUAUCAGAAUCGGAAAUAAAAAUCGAAGAAGAAGAAAUCAAUGACGACUGUGACAGUAAUAAUGAGAGAAACAAAAUUAAAAAACCAACAAAAUACAAAAAGCCCCGAAGGGGCCGACCCCCAGCAUACGCAAAACAUGAAAAAGUGCUGUCCCCGCCGUCUGAUCACAUCGACAAGUCAUGGAAGGAAUAUUUAAAAUUGGAGAACAGUCUUGAGACGUAUUAUUGCACCCAGUGCUCGUUUGAAACAAAGUGGAAAUGUUAUUUGAAAAAUCACGUUAAAAAAAUUCAUUCAUCGCCUGAGGAGGCAAGAAUUUACAAGUGCCAGAAGUGCAAAUUCACAACCAAAUGGAAAUUUAGUCUUAGCAAUCAUAUGAAAGUGCACAGCCCUCCUGGGAGCGUAAAGAUGCACAAAUGUCCCAAAUGUAGCUACCAGACAAAGUGGAACAAUGGACUUAGCAGCCACAUGAAAGUUCACAUGCUUCCCAAGGUGAUAAAAGUCAAUAUUUACAAGUGCAAUGAAUGCGAUUUUGAGUGCAAGAAUAAGCUGGAUUUGGCACAGCAUGAAAAAAUGGAUCAUAAUCCGCUACAAACGGUGUAUAAAUGUCCCUUGUGCUCGUUCCAGACCAAGUUCAGACAUGGGGUCAAUAAACACGUAAAAGUCCAUAACACAGUUAAAUAGUUGAAAAAAAUAAUAAUCAGAAACGUAUCUAGUCAUGUAACCAAGCUUGUCAUUAUUACCUCACGCUUUUAAGGAAAUUUCAGGUCAAAGUGGCCUAUGGCUGAAAUGAACUCAAAUGCCAUUAACUUCAUUUCAGUCACAGGUCACUUUGAUACGAAAUAACUGCUUAGUGUAUUUAUUUGAAAUAAAGUUUAAUGUUGUUAUAAAAACAAAUAUUUUUUAAUAA
Tribolium castaneum (red flour beetle) is the source of this 1283-nucleotide RNA transcript. RefSeq lists it as uncharacterized. NCBI's taxonomy places the organism in Eukaryota, Metazoa, Arthropoda, Insecta, Coleoptera, Tenebrionidae. The record is from RefSeq and is a predicted model, not a curated record. The transcript is spliced from 2 exons.